CAGCUUUCAGGUUCUUCUUUAAAACGCCCUUCAGCUCACCUGACAGAGCAGUCUCCUCUUGGAAAAUUACCAGCAAAUAUGGCAAAUGAUAUAACCAUGGAGCCACUGCUGCACAGCAGCUAUGCAAUUAGCAUGAACUUUAUAACUGACUGCUUAAUUUUACAUCUGUAUAAAUUUUGUCAUAAAAUAUAUAAAUGAGAAGUUUUUACGUCAGAGGUAUUUUGUAACAGAGCAAUUCCUUUGCAAAGCUAUUUUCUUUCCUUAGAAAGCUCACCGGAAAGGAAGCUGUGAACAUCUUUAUGUCUUUACACAUUUUGAAUGUUCCAGUUCCCAGUUCUGUCAGAUUCUGACCAAUUUCAGUACAGAAUAUAGUUGCUAGUUUUUUAGUACUUUUCCUCCAUAUGUCUUAAAAUAUACAUACAUCCCUAGCAGAGAAAAAGCUGGUAAAAGACACUUUCUUGCAUUCAUAUAGGCACAUGACUCAGAAGAGUAAACCAAGAUUUGGCAGCUUACUGUUGAGCUCUACUAUGAAAGUAUUAAAUAUUAGUGCCUUUCUAGAUUAGUCUGGCAUUAUACAUCUUUAUUGCAUCUUCGUAUUGAAAAGCAAGGUGACAGAACCUGCUUGAAGUCUCUCUGUCUUUUAUAUUCUUAAAAUAUGGUGAUAUAAUAACACCUCAAAAAAUAGAAAAUAAUCAAUUCACCGUACAGUAUCCUUUCCUGCAGGCCUUACAGUUUGCAGAAGGUUAACAGAGUCCAGUGCUGCAAUCAAACAGGUCCAUCUCCAGUCACAGAGAAAAUGUAACUUGGAUGUCACAAAGAGGCAUCGUGCAUCUGAUCUCAUCCUUGCACAACUCCAAAAAGAGAUAUCACCUCUAUCAUAGCUGCUUCAUUUCCUAAUCCAUGGGCUACAGUUUUAGAUGUACUAGUUAGAAGAUACACCACGUUACUCUCUUGUCUCUGUUACAAUGUCAGAUCCUCAUUUGGGUUUCCACCAGGAUUCAUUCAGCUCUGGACUGUGGAGGAACUUCAAUGCCACAUGGGUCUCCUUCUCACCAUGACUUCCUUCCACGUCACAGGUAGAAAGCCACACUGAGCCAUAACCAGAAAGAAGAUGGGGAUGGGCAGGGCAGACUGCUCUGACCAGCACUAAAGAAGCUGAUAGAAGCCACCUUAAUAAGUCAGAGCAUAGCGACCCACCUAAACCAAAAAUUAAUAGCUUUCUUGCCAGUGAAAAUCAGUGCAACAGCAGAUAUUAAACAAAAGGUAGCAAAAUUGUGAGUAACUUCCUUCAGUUGGCCUGGGCCAUAUUCAGUCCAGCUACCUAGAGAGGAAAGGCUCCACACUUCCUUUGCUAAUUCUUAAACUCCCCAAUCUGGGGGAGGUUUGCAGUGAGAUUUGUUAUUUUUUCAUUCACUUUCUUGUUUGCCAGUUAUCUAAAAAUACAAUGACUUCUUUGUAGGAAAAAGUUAACGUGCUGUUUUCUGAGACAGACUAAAGACCUUCAUUCAUUCUGUAGCGAACAUGCUCAAGUCCUGCUGGCUUUGGUUGCUGAGCUAGGAUUUAUCUAGCUACUGCUAGCAGCGGGUGGCAAAUAUAAUAAAAAGGAAAAGCAAUCAGUUAAGCA
This is a long non-coding RNA of Apteryx rowi (Okarito brown kiwi), 1624 nucleotides long. The record is from Ensembl. Lineage: Eukaryota; Metazoa; Chordata; Aves; Apterygiformes; Apterygidae.